UUUUAUGCUUCUUUCAUUAUCCUCUUCCUUCAAGCGAGUAGCCCUAUGUAAUCUACCAUUUGUGCAGAUGUGUCAAUUGGCAUUUUGUGUUAUGUACUUCGUAUUAGUUCAUUGCCUCUCGCCUAUGAAAUGCCUUCAACGUCCUUUUUGCAGCCAGUAGUUAAAUGCAGCACGGACCACUUGAAUCCAAUAGGUUGUCUUCAAAUGUGGUCUUCCUUAUAAGAUCCAACCAGUGCUCUGCUAAUAAAAAUCAUCUCCUCGGUCCUCAGUCCUCCCUGCAUGCCAUAUACAAGAGAUUGACGAAGAUGGCUCAGUUAUGCUUUCCACUCCAACCUAUAGUGCAGGUAUAGGAUGCAUCAGGUAUGCGGUUGUCUUGAUGGCACUUCAGUGUUCUCGUGCAUACUUUGCCGUAUGGAAAGAAUAGUUUCUCCAAGCUAGGUUGAUUGCAAAAUCGGCGCUUUUUGGGAUGAUUCAGUAGUAAGACAUCUGGUUAGCAUAGUAUGUAAAAAUUAAGCGCUCAUGUCACCCGUCAGCACAAAUGCAUUUCUGGUGGCGACUUUUAGCAUGCUGGUCCCGGGGUCCUUUGUGGUGGCGGGUGGUAAUUAGACCCGCCAGCAAUCAAAAAUCCAUGUGCCAACACAAAUGGUUUUUGACGUAGUGACUGUACGUCAUAGCUACAAACUCAACUACAGGUUAUGGCUAAUAAUAUUCUACUAGGACUGAGUAACAGUACAGUUCGGGAAUCCUAGGACUACAUUGAACAAGAGAUCUGUUAAAAAAAAUUACCACUGAAUAUCUGCAACGUGUUAUUACACAAGAGCCUGAUGCAAAUGUAGUAUGGUGUGAACAGAAAAUUUAAAAAGGUACAGUAGGGUUUAUCCAAUGUAGUUCUAUAUACCAUAUAACCAAAACUGAAUUUAUCAAAACGACCUGUUAAUAAGUGGAUUAGCAGAGAUAGUGAUGUGGCGUGGGCCUAUUACCUGAAAUGUUAUGCAGUGGUGCACCACUACAUAUUGAUAUAGUUGUCAUCCAUAAGAAAAAAUAAUCAGGCCAUGACGCCCAGCUUCACUGAAUGUAAGUUAUCAUUUGUGCAGUGUUAGGUUUCUUGCCAUUACUUACAUGUCAUGAGCUCAACAUUCUUUUCCAUAGAGCACCCUCUGUCCAUCUUAUUUGUUUACCCCUUUCCCUUCAUAUAUGCGCCUGCCUCAACUACAAAAAUUCUCUCAAAAGCUUUCUUCCUCACCGCUACCUUCAAAUCUAGCUAAUCCAAAGAAUAAAGUGUAGAAAAACGCAUAUCACAAGAUGUGAUAGAAUUAGUCCUCAGUCAUGGCCACUCAAAAGUCUAUCUAGCCAUGAGUAGGAUUAGGAUGUAUCGGGAUCAUGAUUAUAUGCGUGGAAGCAAAUUAAAGUACGAUAACUAUGAUUCCUGGCACUGCUGCACUGCGAUUUCAGGCUUUGGACGUCAGGACCAAGAGUGCAAAGGAAGUGGGGAGGGAAACACUGCUUAGUCGCGCCCGGGACCAAUGCCGUGAUGUCGCCGAAGGUGCAGCAGCAGGCGCUGAUGUCAACUGGCACUCUGGCAGCCGUCUUCCAAGAAUACCGAUGCAAAGCAUAGGCGCAUAGAAGAGUAGCUAGCAGAGCAUUGUCUUGGACUUUUGUUCAUCAGCAUACACGGAGAAACGUCAAAAAUAAUCUGGUUUGACGAUGAUAUACUUCCACUCUUCCAGUGCUUUGACGAUGAUUUACUAUCUGGAUUUCUGAAUUGAGGUGACAAUUUGUAAUCUCAAACUCACUUUCCUUUUCUUUCCAUUUUACGGAAUGUGUAAUAAUCUCCAAGACCUACCGAGAAUCUGAGACCAGCUGGUCUGUUACUCCGUUGCGAAUUUCCCUAGAUCUUUUCCACCUCUAUUUUUCUCAAGUUACUAGUAGUAAUCUGGGUAUGAUAGCCGGCUUCACGCAAUGUAAUUUAUGACGUGCAGUUUUAGGUCCAUGCCAUUAUUUCAUCACAUGACUUCAACAUUCUUUUGCAGCCAGUAGUUAAGCGGGAGCAACCUCUGCUGGUUUGAUUCCUCUCCCCUCGAGCAGUUUACAAGCUACUGCUUCAACUAAAGAAAUUCUCUCAAAGCUUGCCUCCUCAGUCGUUGUCUUCUAAACCAAAUGAGGGCAAGAAAUACAAAGAUUAAAGAUGUGACAGAGACUAGGGUUAUGCAUGCUCACUCAUAAGUGCUCUGUAUAGCGAUUAGGAUGCAUCGGGAAUCGGGAUCAUCGUGGUUUUCUGCAUGGCUCUCCCAAACGGAAGCACACGUCUCUGCUGCCUUGGUUGAAAGAGGAACAGAGCAUGGCGAUCGAUGGACGUUGAGGCCGGAAGCAUAGGCAGCGGAAAGAGACGGCUUCAGCUUUUGCUUCAGCUUCUUUACGGGAAAGUAGCAGCGGGCGACCCGUUUUGGAAUCCGAAGAGUUUUUGCGUUCCUUCCUUUGGGCUAAGCAGCAUGCUCCCUUUUUUUUAAGGUGGCUGAAAAUUCUGCUUCGCAAUCAUGGGCACAGGCUCAAAUUCUACUCCAAGAAGAGCGCAAAGAACACAAAGGCACAAGAUGUGAUAGAAUUAUGCCUCGGUCAUGCCCAGUCAAAAGUGCUCUCCACCAGCGACGUGUAGGACUAGGAUGCAACGGGAUCGUGAUGAUCUGUAUGACUCGCAAACGGUGGCAGAUCACGACUCUACAGCCUCGGUUCAAGCACUUGCCACAAUAGCAGUUUGUUUUUCUACCACCAGACUGAAAAGCUCAACAGAAAUUGGUGAGGUGAUAAUUGGUAAUCUCAAGCUCACAUUUCAUGACGUAACUGAAUGUGUAGUAACUCAUACUGCAGUAACUAAAGCAAGCUUUGAGAAUCAUCUCCUUGUAUCUUUAUUUUUUUUCUUCAAGCGAGUAGCAAUUGGCCUACGGCAGCUUUGCCUUAUGUAAUUUAACACUUCACACUGAGGCUCCCUUUAAUAGCCUUUUAUGUUAUAUGUAAUAGUCAUUAGUUCAUCGCCUCAUUUAUCGCAUAUCUUCAGCGUCCUUUUGGAGCCAGUAGUUAACUAGCUAGAGUACGACUGUCCUCAUUCCUCAGUGUCCUCUUUCUUAUAAACUCCAACCGGUCCAAAACUACACUGAAAGCCCUAGAAACAUGCUUUCGAGGUCCCAGCAGUAUACAAGCUACUGAAGAAGAUGAAUCGGUCAUGCAUGUCCAUUGAAAUUGAAACCAAAAGCGCUCUACACUCCAACCCAGCAUAGGAAUAGGAUGCAUCAGGCAUCUGCCCAGCAUUUACAUUCGGUGCUAAAUCCAAUCCUUGACGGAAAGAAUCACUUCAGAGAUGGCUCUUCUACUUGCUUUUGGAUGAUUCAGUCGUGAGACAUCAAAUUAGCAUAACAUAAACAGUUGUGCUAGUCUGAACAGCAACACUGUACCUAGGUUGUGCUUAACUGCAAACUCUGAGGCGUUGUAGGACAUUAAUAACAACGAAGAUUUUGGGAAUCUUAUGGCCAGAUAGAAUUACGAAUAUGUGCAGUCAUCGUUUUCACCACUAAAUUUUGGUAACGUCUUAUAUUACUGUAUUGACUGAUGAAAUGUAGUACAAGCACACAUGCAUGUUGUGCACAAGAAAUUGAAAAGCUUUAGUAGUACUGAUUAAAUGUGGUGCAACAUAGAGCCAAAGCUAAUAAGCUUCAUAAGUACCAAUUAAGUGGAUUAACAGAGAUACAGAUGUUCCCCUUCUGCCACCAAAAAAAAAACAUUCUAGUUAUUUGUAUGUAUCAACAUAAUGAGAAUUAACAUGAAUUAUUACUGAUGCCAAAGAAAUAAUACUAAAGUUCUCUACUGCAUUUUGCUAAACCAAUUAAACUGCUAGUAACCGGCAAUCUUGAAAUAAUCUGCUAUUUAACAGCUGUGGAGGCAAUAUUGAACCGUUCGUCUAAACCAUCCAACCACCAGUACAGUCAGACAGAGUAAUAUACAUGUCUAGAACAAUAAAAUUUACAAAUCAUCCUUUCCUUUGGUAGACCUUUAUGUUCUUUUAAUUUUUUUCUUCUCUUCUCCGAUGCUAUAACAAGAGGACACACAACUAGUAGAACCUUGCAAAUCGUUAUCAACCUCACAUGGUGUUCAAGCUUCAGCCAUCAUACAUUUGAUGGAAGAAUUCGCGUGCGAGAGAUGUAAUGAGAUUUAAGGUUCAUGCUCUAUUGGGCACCAGGUUAUAAACAAAAGAGGAGUCGCACUAGAUCGCUUACCAAGAUAGAGAAUUGUUGGACUGCAGCGGACCAUGUGUACUGGAAGGAAAUCGUGCUCUCUCUUGUUCAAUGUUGUCCACGACCACGAAAGCAACAAAUUAAGGAGGGAUACACCAACCGAACUGUAGAAAGUAGGCUUGUAUGCCCAAGCUUAUGGCCAAAUCUGUGCGCAUUCAUGCGGCAUACAGGCACUAGUGUCGUGUGUCCCGGUGGCACUAGCUAACUGCUGAGAGGGCUCACCUAAUAAACAACAACAAUCAAGUUCCCAGAUUUAUUCUUCUUAGCUUUUGUAAGGCAAACCUUUUAUCUGUUUUUCCUGUUCUCCCUCACCCUAAUCUGUUUCAUAACUCUGUUUUUGGUUCAACUUGUUGUGAUUGCCAAGGUUCCAUGGGUUCAUAACAUUCUUUUCACGGGCAAUAUUUUUGCUUGUCAGUAAAGUGAAUUUACAUCUAACCAGUGCUAAUUACCAUUCACCCGAUGAUUGCCAUCAUAGCGUCUAGGUAACUUCCAACCAUGGGCUCUCACUAGAAGACACUCCAGUUAGUUUCAGGGGUAAGGAUCAUUCAUGAUGACUGAAUUGUUGCUGUCUAGCAUAGUUGUAUCAAUACAUGUGUUCAAUGUACAGUAAUACACAUUGUUGGAUUAUGGCAAGUAGGUCAUGAAUAAAGCCUAUUUUGCCAUCUUAAUUUCCACACAGAUUGCUUCACUCAAUAUCCAGUGGACUAACCACUCUUUUUUAACAUUUCACUACAUAUAUAGGCAUGUUUUCAACUGCCCUUUUUUUGUCAGUAGUCUUUCAUAUUCUCAUGUGUGCACCGUCCCCUUUUUGACAAUCUCAAUCGUCUUCAAAUUAAAUCCCAACAUAACUUUCUGCCUCACUACUGCCAAAUGCUAUUGGUGUGCUAUAUAAUAUACCCUUGCCCAAGUUGAGCGGGAGAUAGAACGUCGAGACUAGAGGCCGGAGAGAAUUCCUUUUUCUAAAGAAAAGUUGCUUCCAUGAAAUAGGCUUCCUAGCUACUAGGCUUGGAAGGCAUCCGGAGAGCAAUUAAUAGCUUAGAUUAUUUUCGUAAUACACCAAUACAGAAGACAACAAAAAAGUUGCAAGUCUACAUGACAAUCUGUUGGGUGGGCACAGCACAUAACACUGUAGAUCACCCAUGCAACUUCAAUGCCAUCAAAGGUGACCUCCUGUUCCUCUCAACCUCUCAUCACCCAUAGUACAACACUGUAGAUGAAAUCAUUAUGUACCGCGCACAUUAUUAUAGUUACCAAACUAAGAUGAAAUCAAUGUACAGGACUCCGACCUUGCCCCGGCCUAGCGCUAGUUGGCCUUACCACACCAAGUCAAAAGGCUCUCAGAACUCGCUUUCAAUUCCCACACUAAAACCGCCCAUGUCCACAUAUAUAGACUCAACAUAAAGUUCCCCUGAGAAUGGGCAUUACCACACCAAGUCUAUUAGGAUUAGGAUGCAUCGGGAGUUGGGGACUUUUGGUUAUUAUCUGCACGCACCAACCUGUGUGUUUGAAGGGGAUCGAAGCACAGCUAUGCAUACUGCGCCACCGCGGCAAGGACAGCAUCUCUCUCAAGGCUAGCAUAGAAUGGAGUGGACAAGGCUAGCAGAUGAAGACAGAGAGAUACUCCAGGUGACGGUGUCUGUGAUGACUACGCCACAAAAGUGGAGACCUAAAGUAAUAUUAUAGUUCAACGCCAGAUUCGAAUGUGAACCGGCUGGCACACCUAGCUAGAACUAGCAGGCAAGGCAAGCAUUGUGUAAAAAUGAGAGCUUAUGUUGCCGAACGCCAUGACAUGAUGUACAUUACAAACAUAGGUGGCAGAAAUUGAUGCGUUGUGACGUAGGGAGGUAGCACUCAACUGUGUCCAUCCCAAACUUCCAAACACCAGGAUAGCAGUUACCUGGGGAUAUCAAUGCUAGUCUCCUGUCUUUUUCUCCUUUGAUCGUUCAUAAAAAUAAAUUCUCCUCCACGUCUUUUUCCUCUGAUCUCUCUGGCUCCCUUGCUAAAGCAGAGCAAUGCUGUAGCGUGUUCUCCUCACUGCACAACCCUCUGCAGAGGCCAUGGCAGCAAAGGAAGGCUUGGAGUUGGCAACAGAGAUCGGCGUUGGGAAGAUGAUCAAUCUCGCGCUGAAGCGGACGCUGUUCAAUGUUCCACGUAAAUGCAAAAAAAAAAACGACGAACCUCAAAGCAUAAUAGACUAACAUGAAUUUUUUCUGUAAGCAAAACGAAAAAUCUUUCGAGACAUGGAUAGGCUUAAUAAACAAUGUUCAGGCAUAGCCAACAUUUAUCAUCUAUGUAAAUCAUUUCAAACUGUCUGUCAAGUUGGUUCACAGUUGAAAGCAAGUAAACGGAGAAGUACUCCCUCUGUUUCUUUUUAUAAGGCAUACUAGAAUUUGAAAAGGAUAUAUAUUCAAAAGUGUACUUUGACAAUAAUUUCUCUUACAAUUUAUAAUUUGCUACCAUAUUAAAAUAUUUGUGAAAUGGUAGCUUAUGUUACUUCGCUACUCCCUGCAUGCCUUUUCAUAGGACGGAUCUCAUUUUUCCCAACCAUUCUAAAAUUUCUCUUUCGUAUUUGUCUGCUGAACCACUUGUAGAUGCUAUAUUGCCAUCAAACGGUGACAAUAUAUGAAUAUAUAGUUGCAAAAAAAACAAAUGUAUAUUAGAAUAUAUGGUAGUAGUCAUUGUAAAGCUACCACUGCAAAUUAUUAGUAGGUCCCAUGUAUGUCAGGCGCUAGAAGCUAUAGCUGAAAGAAAGCAUUGGACUACCUGCCUCUCUCUUAAAGUUCAACACAUGUCAUCUGAGUCUUCAGUCUUGCGCUUCUACUAACUCAAGUGCCUCCUUAAUUUAGCAGUCCUUUUCUCUAGUAGUCUAAGACUUCUAAGUGCUAGCUCCAAAUUCAUGGCCAUCGUUGAUCUAUCUCUUCUUCUUCCCAUCAUUCUCACACUCAAUCUUACUUCCAAAUUCGAUAACCUAGCCCAAAACUUGGUUUAGACUUAGGAGGCAUCAAGAAUACAUUAACCAGACAAAAGCAAAAUAAACUUGCAAUCUUGUGCAGUUCUUUGUGUGGAGAUUUACAUGGAUGUCCAAAAAGGAUAACAACACACUAUAAUGGAGGCCUUAGCUAGAAAUCCAAUAUAAGUCUUUUUUUUGGAAACAAACCAGGCAGGAGAGCUGCCGAUUAUAUUAAAAAGAAAAGAGAUCUCAGAUAGGGAACAGCAACAUAGCCAUAAAAGUAGCUCCCAACGGAUAGUGCCAACUCAACUCAACACAAAAUAAAAAAGAACUUGAUGGCCAGUCCGAUUGAGACAUCGACACAAGCCACACAAUGCUAACGCCUGAGCAGCGACCACCACUCAGCACCACCACCCAGCAGAAAAAGCCGACAAGUAGCUCUUAUCGCCAGUGCUGUCGUCUCCGACGAUAUCCCACGCUGAACCAAUCGCUGCCACGCAGGACUGGCCGCCGCAGCCCGCUGCAAGCCGUGUAGUUACCAGGGCUUCUCCACCAUGUCGUCGUCGGCCUCAGGUCACACACACACGGUCGUCGAUCUCCCAAUCACGGCUUUAUGUUAGUAUAAGUCAAGAGAGGAGCACACUGCACCACACCGAAAAGACCACCACUCUGCAGGACCCAACAUCGAAGCACCGCUGCCGCACCGUGCACACCAAACAACCAAAACACCGCACCGGAUCUAACCCUCCAAGGCAACUCAAAAUGCGUGGGGGCCUCGCCACAUCCACCGCCGCACACCACUCCUCGAACACAUCACCUUAAAGCGAACAGGGCCUCGCCACUUCCGCCUCUGGACUCCACACCAAGGAUCCAGACUUGCUUUGCCAUUAGAGAUGGCAUGGUGCCAUCGAGCUACUCCAAUAACUUCGCCUCCAUCUUGCCGCCGUCGGAAUCUCAGCAGUAUCAUGUGCGCAGACACAAAACUUCCCGCAACAAUAGCUCAACACCACCUCUGCCGCCCCUGAGCCACCACCGCCUACCACUGCACGCCUAGCCUGCUCGCUGCCACCGCUCUACACCAUCGAGUCCACACUCGGAAAUCGCCGGCGCACCUCCACUCCAGCAUGCCGCUCCGAGCCGCACCGCCGCAUCCACCCCCCGCCGUGGAUUGGUCGGGGUCGGGGCCGGCUUGCCUCCUCUUGGACUGGGCAUUGCCGCCGCCGCCGGUGGCCGGGUGCUGGGCGGCGUCGCUAGCGCUGCAUGGGCUCCCGUCGCGGGACCUCGACGAGUCCGCCCCCACCAAGCCAUAGGACCCAGAAUGCAGAUGGACCGGUCGAUGGACAAUGCCAGCUCCCUGCAGAGCUCGCCUCAAAGCUUCCUCACCGCCAGCAAGUCCUGCUAGUCCAUGCGCACGCCCAGCUCCCUCACCAUGCGCCGGUCAUCCACUACCCGGUGCGCUGCCGCUGUCGCGUUGCCGCCCUCCGUUCCGCUCGUCGCUUGCCAGAAUGUGGCGGGGGCGGCGGAUCUGAGGGCGGGGAAGCCAGACCCGCCCACGGCCCUGCCGGAUCCGGGCUACCGCCGCUCCGGCGCGCCACCCGGCCAUGACCCUUGUGCCAUCCCGCCCCAACGAAACGAGCCCGCACCAGGCAGUUUGCCCCACCGGCACCGUCCUUGGGGCCGCACGGCUUUCGGCGACCCCCUUCGGCAACGGCGAGGUGGGCUCGAGGGGCAGAGGGGUGGUUGGCGGCGGCUGCUAUGGUGCCGCCCAUGUCGUCGGGGUGGGGGAGGGGGGCGACGCGGAAGCAUUGAACGAACAACGAAAGAAUAUCUAGCAUAAAUCCAAUAUAAGUCCAUUUGUUCUAUUUUGUCCAUUUGUUCUAUUUUGUAAGUUGGAGGCUAUCUGUUAGGAAAACUAGUCAUUGUGGUUUUGGAUGCACAAGUUCUAAAAGUGUUCUAAAAGUGGACUUCUAAAUCCAAACAGGGCCUAAUCCAUAGAUGCUCAUUAUUGUCACUCCCUUUUCACGAUGCAGAUUGUCACGUGGGGGCAUUUUAUUACAUUCUUGAGUCAGCAAACAGUGAAAUCCGUGCUUAAUUAUUUCCUGCGCACAUGUUGAGAGUUGAGAUAAUUUCCUGUGCACAUGAUUGUUUCUCAUCUUCAUUAGCUAGAUAAAAAUGUUGCGCUUCGAUUCCACUGAAUAUAUACACCAAAAAUUCACUCAUUGAUUGGAACAAGGAGAAACAUCUGAAUACUGUUCUUUUUGUAGCUCAAGGUUAUAAUGCCAUAUAUUAAUUUGAAGAUUAUAUGUACUUGGAUAAUUAAUUGAUUAGAGACAGGAUGGUGCUCCAGUGGGUUCUUAAUAACUAUUAGAUAUUCAUAAAUUUAGAUAUCAAAGAGUUUAGAGUGUGGGAGGAGAAAAUUUCUGGACCAGGGAAGGACAACCGAAGCUCCCAAACCUCUGCUCGCAGUCCAAAUUUAGGGCCUGUUCGCUUCAGCUUAUUCAGCCGGCUUAUCAGCCACCAAACAGUGUUUUCCUCUCACAACAAAUCAGCCGUUUCAGCUUUUCAGCCGGCUUAUAAGCUGAAGCGAACAGACCCUUAAAUUAGCUCUCUCGAAAUGCAAGUAAUUUGAAGGAUCCAAAAACAAUGUAAUGUGCCAAUGUGGGCCACCUUGUAAGAAGGAUCCAAAAACUUGAAGCUCUAGUGAAAACAUGACCCGAGUAAUUGGAAGUGAAGUGAAAUGGUCCACGAUAAGAGUUUUCUGCUGAACAGAAAGUGCUUCUUUCAAAAUCAUCAGACCUGAAAUUUCUGAACCAGAAAAAUGAGAUCUGCUGCCCUCAGUCCCUCAUGAUGCUGAGUAGAUCAUCAAAAUCAAGCUUCCAACGUGACCCACCGAUGAGAGCGCGCUCCGUCUGAGGCCUAACGGUCAAAAAAUUCGAAACCCCCGCACUCCGCGCUCCACGUCCAUACACCGGAACCAUCCUGUCCGUCCAUCCCGCUCGCUCGGACAAACGAACGUCUAGAUGCUGCUCCCAGUCCACCGGCCUCGCCAAUUUCGAACCCGUUAAAACCCCCGCCGCCGUCGCCCUCCCCCAACGGCCAAAUCCCCAGCCAUUUAGAGCCGUAGCCCGUGGCACCACCACCAGGCACGAACCCUAGGAAAAUCUCCCCAGAAAUCCCCCACCCGAAUCAGGGCUGUAUCGUAGGGAGUAGUCGUCGCGAGAAUCGGACAGGCGCGGAUCGGGGAGGAGCCGAGCAAAUCGUAAGUAAUUUUGUGGCUUCUGGGAGGAUUUGGGGGUGGUUUUGUUUUGCUGCGAUUUUCCGAGCGGUUUGGUGAUGGGGUUUUUUCCUCUGCUUCUGUUCUUGCAGAUCCGCGGGAGCGUAAGGAUUGGAGUCCGGGAUUCCGGAGCGGCGCGGUAAUCUAUCAGAGGUAAGAAUCACGUAGCGGGUGGAGGUGGGGAUUUGGUUGGUUAUUUGGGUUGAUUUUGCCGGUUCGCCCCCAAUCGCUCUCUUCAGAAGCGUUUCUUUGGGUUCUUUAUGUGCGAAUCCCUGGGGAGGUAGAGGGUUGAGGCGGGAUUAUGAGUAGAAAGGUUGCGGAUUAGGUGGUUUCGGUGUUUCUUGAGGCAAUUUCUUCAUGCUGUCGAUGCUUAUCCAUGGGUCUUGUCUGCAUUACGUCGUUCUUGCAGGUAGGCAUCUUAGAGUCGUAGGAAAGAGCAGAAGCCAGACCGGGACCGAACAACAGGUGUGUAGACCUUUUUGGUGCAUUAGUUGUUCGUGUGUUCUCUGAAUUCUACUUGCCAAUUUCGUCCGAAUAAUUCUUGCAUGGAUACAGGAGAAGUUUCGCGCAUAGAUCCAGGAGAAGAGCAACAGGACUCAGGGCACCAAGAACAGGACAAGAGCAGGAUAACUGUAAGAAAAUUGUGCUUCCUUCCCAUUUAUUGAUCUGAUGAGGCAUUUAUAUGAAUCUUGCAUCACUGAUGUGCUUUAUGAAAUUCUUGCAGAACUACAAGAUGCCUGAAGUGAGGACUGCUACUCGGCCGGCCCUCACCGACACCUCUGGUGGUGGGUUCUUUAUCAGGAAGGUGGCACCGCCAGGAGCUGUGCUGGUGAAGGGUGCUGUCAAGCCGCUGGCACGACAGGCCCGGACACCGUCAAGCAACAAGGAGAAUGUGCCACCAGUGGGGACUUUGAGGACUGCACCAAAGAGGAGGAGCCCCUUACCUAACUGGUACCCAAGGACCCCACUCCGUGACAUCACAUCAAUCGUCAAGGUGAUGAACUAUUUCCUUACAGUAUAUGCGAUGUUCCCUCAAUUCCAUACGUGCCGUGACCAUUUCUGCUAAAGUCAGAGUUCUCCAGUUUUGUUGUAUUCUCUAGGAUAUGCCACAAUAUCAUUUUGGAGUUGUUGUUAGUCACUUAAUUCGAAAUGCACGGUUAGCGGUUACCGAAGUAGCCAAUGGAGUCAAAUGCAGCUUUUAUCAUUAGUGUGAAUCAUAUCAAAAGGAUUCUUAUAAUUCAAAUGGCCAAGCAACAAUUUUCUUACAAGGCAUAACCCAUGCGCUUUUGUUCUGUCUUACUUGUGUAGAUGUAUUCAACUUUAGCUGCCUGGCAAUUUAAAUGUGCUUAAAUUUACAUAAUGGUCCAGUAAGCAAUAAGGCCAAUUUUAUCUUAAUCCAUUUACUUCAUGUUCAUUAACCCCAGUAUAUUAGAUCUUAAAUAUUCUGUCGCAUUAGAGCUUGGGUUAAGGGUUCACUUGAUGUACUACAACUAAGAAGUAUGUGUCCCUGUACGAGAUACAACAGAAUUGCACAUGUCAGCCUGUCCUAUUAAGAAGCAUGUGUAUGAGAUACAACAAUUGGCGUUUAUCAUCUAGGUUCAUAAUAGCGAGUAGAAUUGUCUGAUAUUAGAGGUUCACUUGUAUUUUUUUUCCCUUGAACACGCUAGAGGUUCACUUACCGCAUGACUGAAUUGCUCUACUUGUUUGGUUGUAGAAACUAGCUACUGCAAUUACAAUGUUCCACACGUGUCAGCCUGUUAAGAUGUAUUACAACAUACGACGAUUGGCAUUUAUGAUCUAGGGUCAUUAUAGAGGGUGGAUUUGUGACCAGUACCAAAGGUUAUAUACAAGUUAAUGUUUAGAAGUUGAUCGAAAUUAAUUCAGCUGUUGAGCUCUUAUUUGCAACAACCCAUCUUCCUUGCUGCUCAAAUAUCCAUUGAUUUAAUGCGACCUAGUGAAACAGAUAUUACUGUAAUCAUAGACUCAUGGUAUAGCCGUAUCUUCUGUUAAGCAUUAUUAUGCAGAAUGAUUCAAUCCAUUCAAGAUAUUUGAUAGGUUGUCGUCUUUCGUCACUGUUUUACUGGUUUUGUCAUUGACAUGACUUAAAUUAUGAAAAUAUCUUCAUGACUAUGCUAGGUUUUAUGUGUUGACAUUGGAAUUGUUGAGACUGCUAAAAGUUGGUGUCAUUGUGUUCAACCAGAAUCCUUUUUGCAGAUUAAAAUAAGCAUGCUUGUGAAGUAUGAAUUAGUACACGUAAAGAAGCAAUAUUGGUGUUCAUAUUGGCAGUGAUUUAGAUUCUGCAGCAAACUUUGCUUCAUGUUCAGAAAAUUGUGUUUUUUCCUCUGUAGUCCAUUUUCCUCUGUAGUUCAGAAAAUAUUUGUUUGGAUAUUAGAUGCAUACCUAGUUUAGACGCAUUGAGUUACAUUCCCUUGGAGAUCUACUGAUCUACUAAACUUGCAGGCUCUUGAGAGGAGAAGUCGCCUACAGGAUGCUGCAGCUCGGCAGCAUAUCCAGUGGACAGAAGAUUCUUCACCAUCUGUGGAUCCAAUAACUCCAGUACAAGCAGAAAGCAUGCCAACAACUGAGAAAGCUCAAGCUGUUGUGACCCCUACAACUUCUUUGGCCGAUGGCAAGCUGAAGGCCACUCCAUCUGGCUACUCCUUGCAGGCCACUCCAUCCAAACCAAAUGAUCCAGCUCUCUCCGAUCUCAUGGAGAAGAAACUGUCCAGCUCAAUAGAGCAGAUCGAGAAGAUGGUGAGGCGAAACCUGAAGAAAACUCCGAAGGCUGCUCAGCCUUCCAAGAGGGUCGUCCAGAGGCGCAUCCUGAUGUCCAUGCGAUGAGCUGAUGAUAAAGCUCUGUUCCGGAAUGGUUUCCUAUUGUCUGCAGCUUUCUUAGCGGCUAGUCAUAACCAAUUGGUCAGUUUCGCCUGAAGUGGGUAGGGGUUCCUAGUUCUCUGCUUGAGGACCUGGGGUACGGAGCUUACCUAGCUCUCUGCUUGAGGGCAUAUAAGAUUACGGUGACUGCAGUUCUUCUACGUUUAUAGCUUCAACUGUAUAUAGCCUCUACGUCUUUACUGUAACACAAUCACUGCUACGCAGUCAUUUUGUUUGUGAAAUUAGCAGAUCUUCUGUAUAAGCAACGAUUGAACCAAAUUACUUUGACAGAUCCUGUUCCCCAAGUAAAAAAACAUGGAUCAUUACUUUGACAGCUUGAAUGCUUUUAUCGCUGAGUUUUGUUGGCACUUUCUUGUCAAAUGACUUGUUUAUGGGAUUAUGGCUAGAUUGCCUUGCUAUAAUGCUUUGCUUCUUUAAGCAGAUUUACUUAAGUGAAUGGUGUUCACUGAUCUGUACAAUUUACUGAUUCACUUACGAUUAUCUAUGAUCCUUUUGGAGAAUUGGAAUUUUACAAUUGCUAUAUUCUUGCUGCAACCAAUGUUGUAAAUGUAAAACACUCAUCGCAUAAGCAUUGCAACCACGACGGAUAAUCACAUUUACAGUUCUUUUUCCUGAUUGCCAACAGAUGAACAUAUCACAUGAUAUGGUAACAUUUGAAAAUGAUCCUUGCUGAUUAACAGAAAGCCAUAGCCAUAACAUCGACACUUACAUAGGAAACAAAUACAUUGGAUCUUUGCGCACUGCCAUGAAAUUCAUAUGUUAAAUUUACAUAGUGAACAAAUAUAGUGCUUGGAGCUCCCGUCCUUUAAUCAUAUCCGUUCGAUGGCUAAUAGAAAACCCCAAAUUUGCAUGUGUUUUCUCUCAUGGUUAUUGUAUCCAAUCCUAAAUCUGGACACGCCUAAUAUACUACAACAGCAUGUAUCAAAAAGGAAAUACAAAAGGUAUAAAUACACCUAUACUAGUGAUCACACAUCCAAUUAGAUGAGGUAGCUGCAAUUAUGUAGCCCAAUGAAACAGCAUUCCAGCAUCACCGGAUAUAGCUCCUAACAAAAGAUGUUUCACCGACGACACUUAAGCUGACACAUCUCUGCAGGACAAGGGUCAAGGGUGAACCAAGCAAGUUAGGAAACUAUGCGGGAAAUAGGUUCUUAUUUCCAAAAUCAAAUUAUGGAGUUAAUUGAGUCGAACCUGUGACUUCAGAGGGGGGAACACAUUCCAAAACUGGAGUGUUUCAUCACCAGCGCAAGUAGCUAUACUCUGUUGAUAUCAUGGUGGGAAGACAGUAAGAACAAAUCAUACUAGGUGACAUAAAUGAAACUCAGAAACAGGUCACGAGGACUCACCUGUCCAUCAGGGGAAAUAGCUGAAUGCAGUACUCUAUUUGUAUGCCCUGUCAAGGUGACAACCUGCAAAAAGAGAAGAACAUGAUCAAUACACAAAGGAUAUGGUACAAGUUAUAAUUGAAUUCCAGAAUAAGCUUGCAGUGUACCUUUGACAUUGUUGGAUAUCGCCAAACAAUGAUCUGAUUCUGAGAGUCCCCAAGGCUGCUCAUUACUGGAUGCGGAUUCCAAACAAAAAGCUGCAACAAGAAACAUGAGUACAAGCAGAAUAAAUAUCAUUCUGAAGUCCUUAUAACAAUGCACUCAAAAGUGAUGGAAACAUAUGGAACAGCAACUUAUUCUUUUGUCAUUGCCACCAGAUGCAAGCUGCCGGUCAUCAUAAGACCACUUGAGCCCACAAACCUGGAAAAUGUGUGUGAAAAUAAGAAGCCAUACAUGAGUAAAACGAAGCUCCCUUAGGAUUAUCCAUAUACUGAAAAAAACCAACAAAAAUGGUGCAAUUAUAUAUAUAGCGUGCAAAUUAUAUGGAGAUUCUUGAGUUGGUGGUGAAAGGCUCUUCGAGUUGUACCUAAAGAGUGGCGCAAAGGUCUGAAUUCUUUGGUUAUCUUGGUAGCCUGGGAAAUCUGGAAGCACAGGAACUCUUGUGUGUUUGAACAUACAAGGCCAAGCAUUCCAGGUUUGCUCAGGACAGUGGCUGAUGAGUGCAGUUUGUGGGGAAUGGCUAGAGUUUCUAAACUCCAGGAAUUCCUUGCCUGGUCGCUGUCCAUAGUCGAUUAAGCUAUGGUUUUUUGUUUGCUAGGUCGAUCUGUGAGUCUUUGGUGGUGCGCCUGUAAGCUAAUGGCGUGUGUGGGUGUGGUGUGAGUCUUUGUACUCGGGUCCGGCUUUGGCUAGACCCCUUGUUCUCUUUUUUCUACCUUAAUGAAAUGACACUCAUGACGCAGCUGUCCUGUGUUGUUCAAGAAAAAAAAAGAUAGGAAUACAUCACCUCAGAUUUAUGUGCAGUAAGAUUGCUAACUUAAUCUUCUUUAGCACGGAUAUCAUGGUGAAGGAUGCUCUUGUCACGACUGCCAGAAGAAAGUAAUGAAGAACCCCAUGCAAGAGCACCUACACGCAUACGAUGGCUUUCCAUUGUUCUGAUUCUUUUAGAGCGAGUUACAUCCCAUAUCUACAUAAGAUAAAAGAUAGUGUGGCAAUUAGAUUUCCAGACAAUCUCAGCAGUGAUGAAGAAUUUCAUAGAAUACCAGAAGCAUCAAGGGAAAAGAAUCUAUAGAGGUACCAUAAACCAAAUACACACUGCCUACUGAUGAGGUGGUAGUAGUAUUGCAGAACGUUCAAAUUUCAACUACUAUAGCAUAUAACUGAAAUUUUGUUAAUGUUUGCAUUGCAUUGUGAUAAAUAGUUCAGAGAGUCAUGCUUAGGCUAAGAAUCAUGAACAUGCCAUCUAAUAAUUUAAGAUAGGAGCAUGAUGUAACCUGAACUUUGCCCUGCUUUGUCCCUACAGCUAGAUGAGUGCCAGGCUGCGCCCAUCCCACGGAACAAACAUCAUCAUCCUCCCCCAAUCGCAUAGCAUGGUAACCUGCAUUGCGAUAAACACAUUCACAUUCCACCUUCAAUUGUCAGAAGAGGAAAUCAUGCAAGAACACCAUGGUUGCUCACCUUAUCUCUGCUUGCAUCCAACAAGUAGAUAAUAUUCCCCAAUCCGACAGCAAGUGCGUUUUGUGACGACCAAUCCAGCAGGUUCCGGUAGAAGUCAUCCUGCAUUGUGGGCGCAUCCAGAAUCUAUAAAAGAAACAGCAAGAAAAUUACCACUUUUUAAGCAUGAACCUUCAAAUUGACAUCGCACUCUUGAAAAUCCAAGUCUUUAUGCAUUAUUACAGAAGCUUGAAACAAAGUAAAUGAAGAAAGAUCAAAUCUUGCACAUCCCUAGCGUCGCCAAAGACUCGAUCCAAGGAACCCAAAUCAAGAAACAGAUCCAAUCAAGAAAGCAACAAAAUCGAGUCUAGUGCCCUCUUCUCACCUUGUAAGGCGUUCUUGGGAUCUUCCUGGGCCUGGCGCCCCUCGCCGUGGAAAUCCCAGCGAACAGCUGUUCCUCCUCGUCCCCGCCCCCGAAGAGUGCCCUCUUUGCCCUCCGGGGCACCGCCUCCGCCUUGAACUUGAAUAUGUUCCCACUCCCGGGAGUCCCCACUUCCACUGGCGACGCCGACGACGAUGGGGAGGAGGACGACGAUGAGCACGCGGUGGCCGAGGACGCCACCCGAUCGGCGUGGCGGGCCAGAACAGUGCGGCGCUCAGGAGCUCGCAGUACGGGGAUGGUACGGCAGGGGUUGCGAGGUCGAAUAGCGCGAGGUUGGAUCUGGAGCGGCUAGGGAUGAAGCGGUCGCUGUAGACGGUGUGGGAGGCGACGGAGUGGGAAGGGUGCGGUGGCAUGGCGGAGAGGCCAGAGGGCGGCGCGGGGGCGAGGCGCGCGUUGGGCAUGGAGGCCGCUGCCGUGUUCUCGAUCGGCGGCGGCAUCAGGUGGGGGUGAAGGAUUUGAGAGGCGGAAACGGCGGCGGGUUGGGAAGGGGAACGGGGAUCGGCGGGUGGGGUUCAAAGGCGCGGCAAUUUUUGCCGUUGCUGCACCGGUGCACGUGCGCGCCCCCGCGCUUUUCCUCUUGCCAAUUUUGGGUUUUCUUUCGUGGUGUGGCUAUGACAUCGAUGACGGCUCCUUGAACACAGGUGAAAAAACGAUCAAACAAACGAACAAAGGGCACAUGAUACUCGUAUAAGCCCUCUGUUCAGGUUCUGGGAAAAAUAAAACCGCAAUCAGUUCAGGUUGAUUCAUCAUUCAUCCAUCUUAACUGGUUCUUUUCAUUUCCCUUGACCAUUUGGAAAUUGUAGUCAAUGCUUAUCAUGGAACAGGUCCUUCACCAUGUCGUCGGUUUGCAAGUUGCAACACUAUCCAGCUUCAAGAUCUAGGUUAGGAUUAUAUUUAUUUUAAAUUGUAAACUAAAUGAUUCAUCUAAAAGCUCUAGAGGGACCUUUUAGAGUUAUAUAUAACACUAAUAAUAAGAAGAAGAAAUCUUUCUCGAUAUCAAUCCCCUUCCCCUCAGUCUUUGAGAAUAAGAAGGACUCUUCCUAGGCUAUGCUCCCUCGUCUACGCUCCAACCAAUUCAGCCGAACUGUCUCACAAUGUUCUAAACCCAACUCAUGUACCACUCUCCCAACUCAUUGUAUCAUAGAUUCGUAGGGGUGAUGAUUUACUUCACAAACAGCUGCAAGUGAUCCAUAGAUUUUCUGGAGUCGACGCUCUACCAAAUGGAGUCUAAAAUUAUUUAACGGAAAGCUUGUAAAUACAUCGAAUGGUAUGUUAGUUGUGCAGUGCUUGUGCUUAUGCCCAAAGUAUUUCUCAAAUGGAAUAAAAGAGUUAUCGAUAACUUGAAUAAAAAGGGAUAAUGGUCUUUCACAAAGCAAAAUUUGUCUAGGAUACUAAUAACACCUGAAGACCAGGUUGUGUUCUCACUCAGACUGUAUUUUAUAAAUUUCUCAUACGGUCGAAGAGCAUUUUAUUCUAUUUUAUUAUAUAGAUCUCUAUAGGAGCAUUUAUUUAUUUAUGCUUUAAAUAUUCCUCCAUCCCUUCUAAAAUAUAGAUUGUUUUAGUUUUGUCCAAUAUUGAUUUUCUCUCACUCCCACCAAGUUUGUAAAAAAACAUAUAUUAACAUCUACAAAGUAAAAAAUGCAUAAAUAAAAACACAUCUCAUGAUGGAUUUAACUGAUCAUGUGUUUGCACCACUCACAUCUUGUUAGGAAGAAGCUUAUUUUCACAUCUAGCAUGUUGUUGAUAUUCUUCCCUAACCAUUCCUCGUGGGUAUCAUUAACAAAGUUAUUAUGUAACACGAACAUGACAAGGUAGGAUACAUGUGUAAACAGGAUAGAUUUAUGUAUAGAUAGAGUUGUUUAAACUAGCAUACCUUGGACUACAAGUUGUAUUCAAACCUAUCUGUUGGGGAUUUCCAUAUAUAUAUAUAUAUAUAUAUAUAUAUAUAUAUAUAUUAACACGAAGCCGUGGGCGUGCCAGCCACGUUAACCUAUUUGUCGUGUAUUCUUUCAUGGUAAUCAGAGUUCCAUUCCUUAGAUACAUCUAUUGCCAUGGCGUCUAGCUCCAACUCCUCCACCCACCUUGGACCUCCAGUUUCCGAGAAGCUCACUUGCGACAACUUCCUCCUAUGGAAGGCACAGGUGCUUUCUCCAAUCAGGGGUGCACAGCUACUUGGCAUCCUUGAUGGCACCGUCCCAGCGCCGGAGAAGACCGUCCUCGACAAAGAAGCCAAGGUGAUGAUUCCCAACCCGACGUAUUAAGCUUGGCUGGCGCAGGACCAACAAGUCCUGGGAUACCGGGUCAAUUCCCUAUCUACCACGGUUUUGGCACCGGUAGCGACGCUAACAGAGGCGUUUGAAGUCUGGAAGGCCUUGGAGGGCAUGUACUUGGUGCAAUCUUGACUAAUCUGCGGAUGCAACUUGCAAGCCUCAAGAAGGAAAGCAUGAGCAUCGCAACAUACUUCAACAAGAUGAAGUCCAUAGAAACAAGAUGAAGUCCAUAGGAGAUGAAGUUGCAGCCGCUGGAAAGCCAAUCGACAAUGGUGAGAUGAUAUCCUUUAUUCUGAACGGCCUUGAUUUUGAAUACAAUCCUAUUGUCUCUUCGGUUCUUGGGCAUUCAGAUCCCAUCACAGUCAAUGAUCUCUAUGCUCAGGACAUGGUGUAUGAGAUGCGCCUUGAUAUGCUUCGUGAGCAGCACAAUGGAGGAAGCUACCAGUCCUCAGCAAACUCCGCAUCCAAGGGUCGUGGAAACUUCAAUCCUCGCGGUCGUGGUGGUGAAGACCGUGGCCACGGUCAUGGUGGUCGUGGCUCUGGUGCCCCUGGUGGUCCAAGCAACUUCAAGCCAAGAGGAUAAAGCAGCAAGCCAAGGUGUCAGAUCUAUGAAAGAACCAAACACACAGCUUUGGAGUGCUAGUACAGAUUUUAUGAUGAUUACCAACAGCAAGGCAACAACAAGACAGGAGGAUCAAAUUCAGCCGCAUAUGGCGUGGAUACUAACUGGUAUGUGGACAACGGGGCUUCUGACCACGUCACCAGUGAAUUGCGGAAGAUGACAGUGAGGGACAAGUAUGGAGGUCAUGAUCAAGUACACACCGCCAAUGGUGCAGGUAUGAGAAUUAGUAACAUUGGUCAUCCAUCUUUACAUAUCCCAGUUCAAAAUCUUCUUUUAAGAAAUAUCUUACAUGUUCCUAGUGCUCACAAAAGUUUAGCCUCUAUCCAUCGCCUAGCCUAUGAUAACAAUAUCUACUUUGAAUUUCACCCACAUGUUUUCUUUAUCAAGGAUCGAGCAACGAAGAAGGUACUCCAUCAAGGAAGAUGUAAAGGAAGCCUUUAUCCUUCAAAGCUGAGCAACUCGGAAGCAUGCAAGAAUAAAGUAGUCUUUGGAGUUAGUAAACCAUCUAUGGGUCCAUAGGUGGCAUAGUCGUUUGAGGCAUCCCUCUUUUCCUAUUGUUAAGUAUGUUCUCAAGAACAAUAAUUUAUCUUUCAAUGAUAAUACUAGUAGUGAGUCGGUUUGUGACCCUUGUCAAAGGGCUAAGAGUCAUCAGCUUCCGUAUGCUAAAUCAAAUAAUAUUUCUUCUGCUCCGCUUGAAUUAAUUCACUCUGAUGUUUGGAACCUGCUCCUAUUUCUGUUGGCCGAUACACAUACUAUGUAAGCUUCAUCGACGACUAUAGUAGGUUCACAUGGGUUUAUCUGUUGAGAAAAAAAAAUCCGAUGUGUUCGAUGUCUUUCAAAAUUUCGAAAGUCUUGUUAAGAGAAAAUUUGAUAAAAAGAUCUUGGCUAUGCAAACAGAUUGGGGAGGUGAAUAUGAGGGUCUAAAUUCCUUUUUCCAGCAAAUUGGUAUCUCUCAUCGGGUCUCAUGCCCUCAUGACCAUCAACAGAAUGGGUCAGCCGAAAAGAAGCAUAGACACAUUGUUGAAGUUGGUCUAGCCCUUCUAGAUAAUGCCUCCAUGCCUCUCAAAUGUUGGGAUGAAGCCUUUCUGACCGCAACUUAUUUGAUUAACUUGUUGCCUAGCAAAGUCAUUAAUCACCAAACUCCUGUAGAGUUUCUUCUUCAAACAAAACCGGAUUAUACUUCUCUUCGGGUGUUUGGAUGUGCUUGUUGGCCAAAUUUUAGGCCAUACAACAUUAGAAAACUAGCUUUUCAGUCAAAACAGUGUUCUUUCCUUGGAUACAGUCCUCUCCACAAAGGUUUCAAAUGUCUUGACAUAUCAACUGGCCGUGUCUAUAUUUCUCAAGAUGUAGUUUUCGAUGAAUCUGUUUUUCCCUUUGCAUCCCUUCAUGAAAAAAUGCGGGUGCUAGAUUACAACAAGAGAUCCUUCUUCUUCCUGAUCAUCUUUGAAACAGUAGUACUAGGGGUGUAGAUUGCAUUGAUACUAAUAUUACUAACUCUCAUGAUGAUGGUUCAGAUGAUGUGUAUAGUUUUCAUGAAGAGAUAGGAAGAAAUUUGGAUCAAAUUGAUGCUUGGAGGGGUCAAAACAUACCAAUAUUUCAUGCGCUAGGGGGAGACAUGCCGGGCACAAGUUCCAAGGGUGAUACGCCUGCAGCUACUGACGCUGACACCCAAGUGGAUACGCUUGCUCCAGGUGCUGACGUCGUGUCUGGUUCUGAUCCGCCGGAAGCCAAUGCCUCGACGCACGUGCUCCAGACCACUCCGCGCCCGCCGACAGCUCUCCACAUGGCGGCCGCAGAUAGGCGGGGGUAGAAGGGAUCCCACAUCCGUCGUUGUCUGCAUAGGAAGGAUCAUCUGCAGCCGGAUCUUUACCACUAUCUAUGGUGCAAAAUUUUGCGUCUACUCAACCUUCUGUUGCAUAGCCUGAUGAAUCUAUUACACCACCAGUACCCUGGCCUAAAACAUGAUCACAGAGUGGCAUUGUGAGAUCUAAGCAAUUUUUUGAUGGCACUAUUUGUUGGGGUAAUUUUUGUUCUACAGGAGAACCCGAAGAUUUUCAAGAAGAACUUGCUUUUAAAGAUUUGGGUGAUCUAAGUUAUUUUCUUGGAAUAGAGGUCAAGCCGAUUCAGGGAGGCAUACUUCUAUCACAGGAAAAUAUAUGGUAAUGAUAUUCUAACAAGAGUUGGAAUGAAGAACUGUAAGUGUUCUCCUGCUCCUCUAUCAGCUUUAGAAAAAUUGUCUUGUGAAGAUGGAGUGCCAUUGUCAUCUGAAGAUAGUACUCGGUAUAGGAGCAUUGUAGGAGCAUUGCAAUACUUAACUCUUACACGUCCUAAUCUAGCAUUCUCAGUAAACAAAGUAUGUCAAUUUUUACUUGCACCUACGACUGUUCAUUGGUCAGCUGUCAAAAGAAUAUUGAGAUAUGUGAGAGGGACGGUUGAUAUUGGUCCUAUGAUUAAUAGAACAACCUCCAAUUUAAUAGUGUGUUCUCAGAUGUUGAUUGGGCAGGAAGUGUUGAUGAUAGGCGAUCAACUGGAGGUUUUGCUGUUUAUCUUGGGACUAAUUUAAUUUCGUGGAGUGCUAGGAAGCAACCAACUGUGUCCAGAUCUAGCACUGAAACCGAGUACAAAUCUCUACCUGAUGCUACUUCAGAUGCUACAUGGGUAGAAGCAUUGCUUGCAGAAUUGGGAAUCAAGUUACAAGAACCACCACGCUUAUGGUGUGAUAAUCUUGGUGCUACCUACUUAUCUGCUAAUCCUGUUUUUCAUGCAAGAGCUAAACAUAUUGAGAUCGACUUCCAUUUUAUUUGAGAAAGAGUAGCAAGGAAACAAUUGGAGAUUCGGUUCAUAUCAACCAAGGAUCAGUUAACAGAUGGUUUCGCAAAGUCUUUGCCAGCUCGGGAAUUUGAGAAGUUCAAAGGCAAUCUCAACCUUAGAAGUAAGUCUGGUUAAGAUUAAGGGAGGCUGUUAGAGGAUGUAACAAAGUUAUUAUGUAACACAUCAUAUGAACGUGACAAGGUAGGAUACAUGUGUAUAUCGGUUGAACACAGGAUAGAUUCAUGUAUAGAUAGAGUUGUUUAAAUCGGCAUACCUUGGACUACAAGUUGUAUUCAAACUUCAUGUAUCUGUUGGGUAUUUUCCUAUAUAUAUUAACACGAAGCCGUGGGCGUGCCAAGAGAGGCAGCCACGUUAACCUAUUUGCCAUGUAUUCUUUCAUCAUGGCCUAACUUACUCUCUACAAUAAGUAUUCUGCACAUGCUCAUCCGCUUGUCCACUGCUUUCUCUCUGCGUAUUUGACCUGUUACUCCUCCACUCCAAAACAUCUAGAGCAUCUCCAGUGAGAAGUUGUGACUCAUCAUCUUACACGAAUGCAUGAAAAGCGAACCAAACAACUAGAAAAUGUGAAUGUCAUGAAUAGAACGUCAAGAGGGAGGUGUCACUCUGCUGCUUUUAAUCAAUGAUGUAAAGCUAGCGACUUGAUGUUGAUAUUGAAGAUGUUGGAGAGAGCCUGAAGCCUGAAGAAGUAGAUGGAGGCAUUAGGAAGUCUACACGAGUCAAGAGGCCUAACCCAAAGUAUGACAGCCUAUCUUGGCAACCCAAUUGAAGCAAAGCCCGCCAUCACCUGAUCAUUAUACAGGAGAUGUGUAAGAGUGGAGGAGGUAAGGAGGAAGAUCGAAGACAUUAGCCGACUGCAAUCUAUGAAUACGGAAUACCAUUUGUAUACAGGAUAUCCUAUGAUCUUGUACUCAUAUUUGGAGUGAACUUGUGAGAACCGAAAGUCAAACACUACACAUGUUGCUUGUUGGUGACAGUGAACCAUUCAUGGAGAGAGAAAUAAUCACCUCUUAAAUGACGGUCAAAUCAGUGACGAAGCUAGGAUUCGAAAAAGAGGGGGCUAAGCAAAUUAUAUCAAGCAAGUUCGAUAGAAAUCAAGGCCAAAUAAAAUAAAUUUCAUUUCAAAUCAAAUGAACUAUUUGAAAAGUUUUGAGCAUAGGGGGAAAUGGCCCGUGCCAGCCUCUCCUUGGCUCCAUCCCUGAGUCAAAUCCUUGCUUUAAAAAAGGUGAAUUGAAAUUGUGGGAAAGAGAAGUUACGAGAAGAGCGAGACUAUAAAAUUGGAGUCUUUAUUUAUUGAAAAAUGUGUUGGCCCCUAUGCUUUUGAGUCAAAGUCAAGUAAGAUCGUGUGGAUGGAAUUUUUUUUUCAACGAGUCGAAUCACAGAGAUGCUCUAAACUAACAAAAUAUGAUGGAGAAGAACAGCUAAGAAGACAAUCAUAAUACGAACGAUUUUUGACCCUGUCUGUUUCCGCUUAUAACCAGCUUAUCGGUGAAAAUAAGCAAGAAUCCCACCAAACACCUUACUUAUUUUCCCAGAUUCUCGCUAACCGCUUAAGAAAUUUGAACUAUAAGAAGUGAAAAGUGAGAAGUGAGAAAAUUUUUACUUAGAUUAUAAUUCAAGUAUGGUUGAGAGAAGCGGAAACAAUCAGCGCCUACAGCAAUCUCAAUCGCUUGAUUUAUUCGAUUUUUUAAUGAACCUAUUAAUUCGAUUUCACAGAUCACGGAUCACCCGUUCUCGCCAAGGCAAACGGUCCGGCCCAGCCGUCCAGGAAUUCGAAAUUCGGGACGGCGCUCACGGCCACGGCCCCACCGAACGCGCCGUGGCACCAGCGUUUCGUCCGCACGCACCAGGUCCAUACACCGGAACCAUCCUGUCCGUCCGUCCAUCGCGCGGCAUCACACGAACGUCCGGAUUCGGCUCGCGGUCCACCAGGCGCUCCGUACACCGGGCAUCUCCCGUUGUCCGCCUCGUCAUUUCAAAUCGAACAGGUUAAAAAUCCCGCUCAUCCCCGCAUCCCCUCCUCGCCCCCCACACUAGAGGCCGUAGCCAGCCAGCAGCCACCUCCAUCCAGGCGCAAAGCCGCAAACCCUAGGGAAUCUACCCAGGAAUCCCACCCGAAUCAGGCCUGUAUCCUCGGAGUCGUCGUCGCGGGGACCGGAUUGCCGCGGGGCCGGAGAGGAGCAGAGCAAAUCGUGAGGAAUUUCUUGCUGUUUUCAGGCGGAUGUGUUCGUACAAUUUUUCGAGUGGUUUGGUGAUGCGGGUUCUCUCUUGGUUCUGUUGUUUGCAGAUCUCGGAAGGAUAAGGUUUCGGAGGCGGGAUCAGGAGCGGAGGGGACCUGUUAUAGGUGAGAAUCGACAAACGGCAGGGCAUUCGUUGGGUCGCCCCAAUCGCUUUGCUCUGUUGCCUUUCGUUGGUUGUUUUGGUCUGAAUCCCUGGGGAAGUGUGGGAUUGAUUCGAGUAGGAAUGUGGGGAGAACGAUUCGGGGCCAGAUGGUCUUGAUGUCACUGAUGGUUUUGUUGGGGUCUUGUCUGAUUCGUUGGUCUCGUUUGCCUUGUGGCUUUCUUGCAGGUAUCGUAGAGUCGUAGGUUCGCGCUGACAUUGGAAGAAGGCGGAGAGGCGGAAGCGGAGCAAGGGGAGAGCAAUAGGUGUGUAGAUUUUGGUGAAUUUGUAUUUCAUGCUCCUCUGUAUUCCACUUCGCCGAUUUCAUCCGGAAAUUUCCUGCGUGGAUCCAGGGGAAGGCUCAGGGCACUAAGAAUUUCUUGCAGAGAUCCAGGAGAAGAGCAACAGAAAUCGACGCACCAAGAGCACAAGAGGAGCAGAACUGUAAGGAAAACUGUGAUUCAUGGAUUUGUUGACGUCCUGAUGCAUCUUGUGGGUGGUUCUUGCAUUACUGUCUCACUGAUGUGCUAUAAAAGCUUCUUGCAGAACUAAAAGAUGCCUCAAGUGCGGACUGCCAGCAGGCCGGUACUUGCCAGCCACUCUGGUGGCGGGUUCUUCGUCAGGAGGGUGGCAUUGCCGGGAAUCGUGGUGGUAAGGUGUACCAUCAAGCCACUGGCUCGACGGGCUCGGACACGAUUGUGCAACAAGGAGAAUGUGCCACCAGUGGGGGCUGUGAAAACUGCACCAAAGAGUAGGAGCCCCCUACCUGACUGGUACCCGAGGACCCCACUCCGUGACAUCACAUCUAUCGUAAAGGUGGGGACCUGUUUCCUUGGACUGUUCGUGGGAUGUUCUCUAAAUCUCGUAAAUGUGAUGACUAUUUUGCGCUAAUGCCAGAGUUUUAUGGUUGAUACAUGAUGCAUGAUCUGUUCUUUAGGAUAUGCUAUAAUGUUGCUUUGUUAGAAUUAUUAUUACAUUAUUGGUCUUGUAUUCAAAAUGCCCUUGUUACCAAAGUAGAUUCUGGAUUAGAGUUUGGUAUUCAGGAUGUAGAAGUUUUUAUAGGGCUAAUGUUGGUGUCUUGUACAUUUUUGUUUAUGAUACGACAAGAUCCAUGAAUUCAGUUAGCCUGUGUCUCAGUGGCUUGAGUGAGAACAGUAGCAUAAAAUGCGAUCAAGCAAGCCUUACCUUUUAUGCUUAGUGCAGUGACUAACACAAAAGAUUAGUAUAUUUCAAAU
Molecule: long non-coding RNA, 26151 nt
Filed under: Setaria italica (foxtail millet)
Lineage: Eukaryota; Viridiplantae; Streptophyta; Magnoliopsida; Poales; Poaceae
Description: long non-coding RNA (SITA_LNC000527)
Rfam family: Small nucleolar RNA Z247 (bases 19346-19484)
Source: RNAcentral